GGUGGAGCUCAGUGAUUAAAGCGCUUGCCUAGCAGGCAUGAGGCCCUGGGUUCCAUCCCAGCACC
Molecule: transfer RNA, 65 nt
Filed under: Heterocephalus glaber (naked mole-rat)
Lineage: Eukaryota; Metazoa; Chordata; Mammalia; Rodentia; Bathyergidae
Rfam family: tRNA
About the family: Transfer RNA (tRNA) molecules are approximately 80 nucleotides in length. Their secondary structure includes four short double-helical elements and three loops (D, anti-codon, and T loops).
Source: Rfam by way of RNAcentral